Pangasianodon hypophthalmus (striped catfish) is the source of this 6433-nucleotide long non-coding RNA. RefSeq lists it as uncharacterized. The record is from RefSeq and is a predicted model, not a curated record. The transcript has 4 exons. Lineage: Eukaryota; Metazoa; Chordata; Actinopteri; Siluriformes; Pangasiidae.
UAGACUUUGGACAGAGCGGGCUGUCUGGCUAAGGGGAGGGCAGGAAGAAUGAGAGAGAGAGAGAGAGAGAGAGAGAGAGAGCAAGAGAGAGAGGGGAGUGAGAAAGGGUGAAAGUAGAGGGAGUCCUGCACCGGGAGAGUGUGUAUGUGUGUGUGUGUGUGUGUGUGGAAAAGUGGCAGGCUGUUUCUCUCCUCAUACACUCCUCUCUCUUUUUUCUCCUUCUCCUUCUUUUGUUCUCUCUCAUGGCUGAUUCUGUGAGGAGGUGGCUGAAGUGGCUGAGUGCAGAAACAGGAUUAGGCUGACAAACUCAACUCAGAAAGUAAUAAAAAAGCAGGAGCUGAAGAAACAAUGAGAAGGUGUGGAGCUACACAUAUGUGUCUGUGGGUGUGCCCAAAAAGUGCAGAGGAAAAAAGGGAACAUGAAGAGGCAACUUUGUUGGGAGAAAAUGAGAAGGAAGAUACCAACGCAUGGAUUCAUAAAGCACGGACCACAGACGUCUUUAUGAUUUUUUAAAAAUUUUGGCAACGGAAUCGGCCUAGUCUGCACCCCAAGCCUAUCUCUGUGUUAUGGCCAAGAGAAGACUGAAUGCUCCUUUUCGGACCGCACUAGUCAGUACCACGCAUGCCACCUCACACCACCUUCCUCUGCCGCUUCUCUCUCUCUCUCUCUCUCUCUCUCUCUCUCUCUUUCUUUCUCUUUCUCUCUUAUGUUAUCUGUCACUUUCUUUCUUUAUAACUCUCUCUCUCUCACCCUCUGGCUUUUUGUGUGUUGGACUGAGCGUCCCAGGAGGCAGCGUGGCCUCCAUCAUCCAGAAAAGAGAGGGACUGGUCAAAGCCCACCUGUUCAGCGUUUACAAAGAAGGAACAAAGAAUGACAAGUCUAUAGUAUGUUAAAUCUCCAGAGUCUUAUUAAAGGAGCCCAUUUUCUUUUCAUGGCAGUGGAGUAACUCCAGCUCUUUUUUGAAACAUCUGUGAAUUAAGAAAAAAUAAUCUAUGGUCUAACUAUUUAAAAAAUGUUUGCAUGACUUAAUCUUUGCUAUACUCACUAAAAUCAUUGCGUUCUCUAAUCUCUUCAACUGUUCCAACCAUCUUCUUUCCCACCGUUUCCCAGCUGUGAGCUCAGAAAAGGUUUCCUCUCACAUUCAUUCUCUCUCUCUCUCUAUCUAUCUAUCUCUCUCUCUUUCUCUCUCUCUCUCUCUCUCCUUUGCCCCCCUCCAUCCAACCCUCUCCGUCAACGAAAGUCCUUUCAUAAUGAAUGGCAAGGUACGAUAAUAGCCUUGCGGUUUCCAUAGAAACCAGACAGUAGCCCUGUGUGUAUGGCAUAUACCCCCCCCCCUUUUUUUUCCUCCCUCCUUUUUCAAGGGGGCAAAUGAUAGUGGAAUGUGAGGCGAAACACCUCCCUCUCUCCUUCUCUCCCUCCUUCUUACUCCGUGCACUCAUUGCACUGUAUUCCUUUUCCUUUUCUUCCCUUUCCCCUCUUCAGCCUCUCAGAAUUUUUACUCAUUCACUUUUUUUUGUAGUGUUACCUGUUUGAAUCUUUUGGAUUUUCUGCAGUUGUCAUAAAAUAAAGUACGAACUGAACUGACUAAUGGAAUUUAAACAACCUCUUUAAGUUCAAGAACAAAAAAAAAUGUGUCUGUGUUUUUCUUUCCAUGGAAUUUGAAUCUAUACAAAGUAAAAUCUUUUAAUGAUUAGCUAACACUUUACAGAAAGGUCCAUCAUUAUGAGAAAGUGAUUAAUUCAUUUAUUAAUUAAUGAUUAAUUAAUACAUGGACUAAUCCUUACUGAAACAUGAAUCAUAUACAUUAACAUCCAACUGUUAACUUCUUUUAUUAAUUAAUAAUGUGACUUGCAGUAUUAUUUAAGAUCAUUUACAUUAUGAAAGGUGUGUCUAGGUUAACGCAAAUUAUAAUGUAAGUCCAGCAAAUUUGAGGCCUUUUUGUAUUUUUGUUUUCCAACACCUUAUAUAGGCCAUAACAACUACUUUUCUUAACAUAUGCCAUAAUUCGUAAAUCAGGAUCAACGUCCUGAGAGAUAUCCCUUUUUUGAACACUACAUCAAUAAAGUUCUUUGAUUUUGUUCAUGUUGUCUCAAAGCAACUUGUUAGUACUCGCUUUGACUUACACUUCAGAAAUAAUCACAGUUAGACUUAAUCUGUCCCAAAUUACCUGAACUCACCCUACAGUAGAGUAGUUUUUUUAGGUUUGGGGAGUAUAAUUAUCUGAUUCAUUAUUAUCCAAAUACUAUCCCAAAUGAUCUUCUAUUCUCUCCUAAUUGCCAAGGGAAAAAUGUUAUCUUACAAUAGUUUAUAUAAAAUUACGGUUCGUCCCACAGCUGAAAAAAUUACCAAUAUAUAAUUUGUGUUUAGAAUGUAAUUUGUUAAGGUUUAUUUAACAGUUUCAUGCAGAAAGAGGUUUAUCAUAACGCUAAUACUUUAUAGAUUGUCAUCAUACAUGGCUCAGUUAGCUGUUAAACUAAACUACACUUUAUUAUUCUGUGAUAAGCUAAGGAUUAGUGCAUGUAUUAAUUAAUCACUAUGAAAGCAUUAAUACAGUAUGAGAAUAUGGUGAUUUAUGGACCUUACUCUUAAGUGUUACCAGUGAUUAGUUGUGGGUCUUUAGCUCUCCAGGUAAAUAACUUAGCUAGCAACUGUACCUGUUCCUGAACACAUUAUUCUGAUUGCAGGUUAAUAAGAAUUUCCACAAAGCAAUUUUUUGUGAAAAGUUAUGAAUGGUUUACAGUUUAGCAUUAACUGUAAUUUUAAAAUUCCAUUACAAAAGGCCCAGAAGAAAUGGAAUCAAACAACCUGAUUCACAGGAACUCUGAGAGUGAUUUACUGGAUUGCAUACAAAUUUGCAACUGUUAAACGAAUAAUAAUAAAAAAACAACAAACAAACAAAAAAAAAAACCCCGCUACUCCUUGCCAACAUAGUUUCAUCAUUACUAAGAAUUUACAUGAGACAACAAAAGUUAUGAAUGGUUAAAUAAAAGGAAAAAGCCCUUUGAAACAUUUCAGCCCGUUUCAUUUAAUUUCAUUAAGAAUAACAAAAUCACUCAUGCUUGCUGGAAUUCAUAAAUUGUACAUGACGGAAUUCAAAAAUCUAAUUUUGCAAGAUGUAAGUUUGACCUGGCACAUUUGCUCACUCUGAGGUGGCCAGCUUAUUUAUUAUCAAAAGAUAAAAAAGCAUUUAAAACAGUACCAAUAUACAACUAGUCAAGGCUCAAUGAGGUUUCAUCUCUUCAUCAUAUUUUACCUCUACAACAUUCUUUCUCGGAACACCUCACAACUGCAUUCAUUGAGAGGUUUUAUUUGCAGUGCUGGCAUUUUCAUUCCAUGCUAAUAAACACUUUCAUAAUAGUACAUUUAUAAGAAUUUACACAAGCCAAGUCAUUAAAAAAAGGUACUCAGUUAAGUUUCAGGCAAGAGAUUGGGUUUUCUAUGAGGGCGAGUCAAAUGAAAACCUUAAUAGUGCAACAUAAAUUAGAAUUGAAUAAAAUAAAUUAAUUAAAAAAGGGUUUUUAUUUGACUCACCCACAUUAUGUAGUCAUAAAUUUGCAUGGAAUCUAAAUUUACUGUAUGAAUUGUAAUGCUAGUAGUAUUGAAUAAUUACUGAGUUACAGGUUUAAAGUCUGUAAGAAUUUUUUUUUUACUGAACAUCUCCAUUGACCUAACACUUAAAAUUGCACAUAGCAAUGUGCAACACAUGGCUUAUCCCAAAACUCAUUUCUUCGUCCAAAGUGUUGGGCUAUAUUUUUCAUUAACAAAAAAAAAAAAAAAAAAAAAACACCUUUCAUUUAAGGCUUUGAAGCAACUAAAGACUGCAAGUCUUUAAGUUGCAUAUUGUUCUUUUUUGUAAUACAUUUUUAUUUUAACAAUAAAAAUCUAGUGCUUAUUAUUUGGUGUUCACAUAAAAACUAACAAUAACGUAACAUGUAUAAGAGUCUCUGAAACACAUUUUGCUUCUGUCGUGAUGUUACCAAUGGACUUAGAGGUACUGUAGAUUGAAUUUACUCAAUGUUCCUUUUUUAAUGAGAAAUAUUUUACAUAUUAACCAAUAAUGACAGUAUAUAGAACGAAAGAAACAUUCUCUGAAUUUGAUAUCUUUUAUUAAGGACUUCCUGUUUGCUGCUUGGAUUUAGAUGCCUCAGAAACAGGAGUUUCAGAAUUAUUAUCUAUAAAAUAUAAUGCAGAUAUAAGACAUAAAGUAAAAACAAGUAAAACAUUUAAUAUAACACAGUAUCGAAUUUACAUGGUUACUUUUCUCCAUUCAAGAAAACCUACCUACCUAUUUAUGUUACUCCGGGCUUUUAUUCUUUUUUUUUCUAAAUUUGUUAAGAAUUUUGUAUGUUAUAGAUUUUUAGAAAGAUAAUAGAUUUUUUUGAAUCUGGAUAGCAGCAGUUCUGUUAAAAGCAUGCUGCUAAAUUUAACGACAUUGCAGGACAUACACUACAGCAGGAUAUAUAAUCACAUUUAUGUCUCUUAAGCAAACAUUGUCCUGGAUGAGUGUUUAUUAAGAUGACGGGCUGUUUCCUGUUAGCUGCUGCAUGUGCACUUUUCAGCAUUUUUUUCAUGUGUGAUUUUGCGAAUCUCAAAACACUGCUGAUAAUUAAAUAAAACAAGCAAACAUCAAAUUAGCAGAAAUUACAGAAAUUGUUCGUAUUACUACAACAUGGCUUCUGAAUGAUAACAAAGCCACACACAGGAUCGGUUACUGUAGGCUGCCUUAGUGAACACAGAGCACACCAUGGUGCUGUUUCAGCAGUUUCUGCAUGCAAGGUUGCAACUGAUUAGAUCGAUGUGAACCCUAAAUUCAUUUAGAGCCUAUACAGGCUCUGGCUUCUCUUUCUGUUCUAGCUGAAGCAAUAUGGCACAUGGGGGAUGAAGACAUACACUGCAGUGGUAAGUAGUGCACACAGAUUAAUCAUCAACACAUGCACACACAUGCACACACACACACACACACACACUCAUAUGUGCGCACAUACACCAUCCUCGUCCAGCUGUCGAAGCCGGCGCUGUCGCCAUAGCGACAGCAGAGUGCUGCUUAACAUCCUGGCCAACAGCUGCUCUCUGUGGAGACGGUAUUGAUUGAGUCUGUUCUAGCCCCACUCUACCCAAAUGUCUGUGUGUGUGUUUGUGUGUCAAUGCACCUGAGACAAAGUGGUACAGCACCUUAUCUCUGAGCCUGCCAUGUACAUAUCUGUGCAUGUCAUGUGUCAUGUGCCUAUAUUAACUAUUGUAAUUACUCUAAGAGGACCAGCUAGUGCUAAACCCUAUAAAAAUGGCCCAGCGCUGGUCUCAUUGUUCCUGUGUAGGGCGGGUGGUAGGUCCUUCACAAGACCCUUCAUUUCCUUUCAGCACACUGUGUAUCAUCAAAGCCAGGAUUACCGUGGGCCGAACCGGAGAUCCAAACCUGAGCACCUGACAGAUCUAAGCUUAUUAGCUCUCAUGAAAAGAAACCUGCACAGGAAGAGUUUAGAGUUUAGAGUUACCCGCAGAUGAAACAUACAGUAGAUAAUUUGCUAACACUUCACCUCGCUUUUAGAUGCUGCAGAAUAAUGAGGGAAAGAGAGAUAAAUGUGUGUGUGCGUGCGUGUGUGUGUGUGAGAGAUGUAGAGAUGAACCUGAAGUGUUAUGAAAUGCACUUUUUGCACUUUCUAGCCUUGUUGUUUUCACAAUCUCAUCAGAGACAAGCAUAUUUCUAGCUGCUCUCAUCUUCCUCAUGCAUCUUGAACAGUUGUCCUAUCAUCACCAUCUCUUCAGAAACUCUCUCACAGCUCUUAGGUGUGCCAUCUCAGUCCAGUCAAUGUUUUUCUUUUUUAAUUUAUUUUUCAAAUUAAGGGAGAACUUUUCUGCACACACCUGUGGUCUAGUCGCCCCUUAAUCUCCAAACCUCUCCAUUUUCACGGAUUUUGGGAUUUCAGCUAAUCUUUACUGAGAAAAAUCUACUGAAGUACAGCGUGUUCCUCCAUUGCUUUUCUUUACUACCAUGCAUGACUGUGUUUAUUUGAUCAAAAUCUGAUUUUGGCCCAGUUGAUACUUGAGAUAUUGUUCAAAAUUGAAACAGUUUUUGCUGUUUGAACAACCUGUAUAUGCACUAGGUGUUUAUUUCCAGUUAGAAAAAUAACAUUUGCCUUGUUAAAAAAAAAAAAAAAGAAAAAUGCUGUUACAAUUCCUUAUAUUUCAUUCUAAUAGAUUCAAAUCUAUUUAUCGUAACAGGAAUGAUGCUACACCAAUCUAUAACUGAUUAUAGAGCUAGCUGUGGGUUAAAAGUCAUAACUUUUCUUACAACUUUAUUUUUAUGAAGUCCAACAAAAGCUGUCCAUUCUGUCCAUCUCCAUGCAUGUACCCUUCUCCAAUUUUAAACUCAACUAACAUCCAUCUUUUCUGCCUUGCUUUCCCACAUGCAUCUGUCUUAUUGUGUCUUCUACAU